GACGAACGCUGGCGGCGUGCUUAACACAUGCAAGUCGAACGGGUCUGCCCUGUUUUUUGCGGGGUGGGUCAGUGGCGAACGGGUGAGUAACACGUGAGUAACCUGCCCCUCACUUCUGGAUAACCGCUUGAAAGGGUGGCUAAUACGGGGUGUUCUGGCUGUGCCGCAUGGUGUGGCUGGGAAAGAUUCACUUUUGUGGUGUUUUGGUGGGGGAUGGGCUCGCGGCCUAUCAGCUUGUUGGUGGGGUGAUGGCCUGCCAAGGCUUUGACGGGUAGCCGGCCUGAGAGGGUGGGCGGUCACACUGGGACUGAGAUACGGCCCAGACUCCUGCGGGAGGCAGCAGUGGGGGGUAUUGCACAAUGGGCGGAAGCCUGAUGCAGCGACGUCGCGUGAGGGAUGGAGGCCUUCGGGUUGUGAACCUCUUUCGCCGGUGAAGAGGGUCCUGCUCUUUGUGGUGGGGUUGACGGUAGCCGGGUUAUGAAGCGCCGGCUAACUACGUG
This 500-nucleotide ribosomal RNA is filed under the name uncultured bacterium. Its description in RNAcentral is "partial 16S ribosomal RNA". It matches the Rfam family "Bacterial small subunit ribosomal RNA", at positions 28 to 507 of the family's 1533-position model. The record is from RNAcentral.